Molecule: ribosomal RNA, 447 nt
Filed under: uncultured bacterium
Lineage: Bacteria
Description: partial 16S ribosomal RNA
Rfam family: Bacterial small subunit ribosomal RNA
Source: RNAcentral
AGCGAACGCUGGCGGCAGGCUUAACACAUGCAAGUCGAACGGUCCUUCGGGAUAGUGGCGGACGGGUGAGUAACACGUGGGAACGUACCCUUAGGUUCGGAACAACACAGGGAAACUUGUGCUAGUACCGGAUAAGCCCUUCGGGGGAAAGAUUUAUCGCCUUUGGAGCGGCCCGCGUCUGAUUAGCUUGUUGGUGAGGUAAUGGCUCACCAAGGCUACGAUCAGUAGCUGGUCUGAGAGGAUGGCCAGCCACACUGGGACUGGGACACGGCCCAGACUCCUACGGGAGGCAGCAGUGGGGAAUCUUGCGCAAUGGGCGAAAGCCUGACGCAGCCAUGCCGCGUGGAUGAUGAAGGUCUUAGGAUUGUAAAAUCCUUUCACCGGGGACGAUAAUGACGGUACCCGGAGAAGAAGCCCCGGCUAACUUCGUGCCAGCAGCCGCCGUAA